This is a long non-coding RNA of Brienomyrus brachyistius, 165 nucleotides long. RefSeq lists it as uncharacterized. The record is from RefSeq and is a predicted model, not a curated record. Lineage: Eukaryota; Metazoa; Chordata; Actinopteri; Osteoglossiformes; Mormyridae. The transcript is spliced from 3 exons.
AGCAAUAGCAGCAGUCAUCAGUGAUCAGAAUAGACACAGAGGUUAUAAGUACCAAAAACCAGCAGGUGGAUAAUGGCAGAGGUUAUAAGUACCAAAAACUAGCAGGUGGAUAAUGACAGAGGUUAUAAAUAUCAUUAACUAACAGCUGGAUAGUGACAGAGGUUA